RNAcentral lists this transfer RNA (72 nucleotides) under Bos taurus (domestic cattle). It matches the Rfam family "tRNA". Rfam says of the family: Transfer RNA (tRNA) molecules are approximately 80 nucleotides in length. Their secondary structure includes four short double-helical elements and three loops (D, anti-codon, and T loops). Lineage: Eukaryota; Metazoa; Chordata; Mammalia; Artiodactyla; Bovidae. RNAcentral also lists the same sequence under 5 other names. The record is from Rfam by way of RNAcentral.
UCCCUGGUGGUUCAGUGGUUAGGAUUCGCACUUUCAUUGCUGGGGCCCUGGGUUCAAUCCCUGGUCAGGGAG